RNAcentral lists this ribosomal RNA (243 nucleotides) under uncultured Bacillota bacterium. Its description in RNAcentral is "uncultured Firmicutes bacterium partial 16S ribosomal RNA". It matches the Rfam family "Bacterial small subunit ribosomal RNA", at positions 796 to 1041 of the family's 1533-position model. Lineage: Bacteria; Bacillati; Bacillota. The record is from RNAcentral.
CUAGCCGUAAACGAUGGGUACUAGGUGUAGGGGUUUCGAUACCUCUGUGCCGCAGUUAACGCAAUAAGUACCCCGCCUGGGGAGUACGUGCGCAAGCAUGAAACUCAAAGGAAUUGACGGGGGCCCGCACAAGCGGUGGAGCAUGUGGUUUAAUUCGAAGCAACGCGAAGAACCUUACCAGGGCUUGACAUCCCCUGACAGUCAUGGAAACAUGGCAUCCCUUCGGGGCAGGGAGACAGGUGG